GUUCUUUUAUUUUGAUUUUGUAAAUCAAAGAUUUUAAGGACU
This 42-nucleotide transfer RNA is filed under the name Bisetocreagris titanium. RNAcentral's name for it is "tRNA-Thr". Lineage: Eukaryota; Metazoa; Arthropoda; Arachnida; Pseudoscorpiones; Neobisiidae. The record is from RNAcentral.